This 404-nucleotide ribosomal RNA is filed under the name Serratia symbiotica. RNAcentral describes it as "bacterial SSU rRNA". It matches the Rfam family "Bacterial small subunit ribosomal RNA", at positions 9 to 409 of the family's 1533-position model. Lineage: Bacteria; Pseudomonadati; Pseudomonadota; Gammaproteobacteria; Enterobacterales; Yersiniaceae. The record is from RNAcentral.
GAGUUUGAUCAUGGCUCAGAUUGAACGCUGGCGGCAGGCCUAACACAUGCAAGUCGAGCGGUAGCACAAGAGAGCUUGCUCUCUGGGUGACGAGCGGCGGACGGGUGAGUAAUGUCUGGGAAACUGCCUGAUGGCGGGGGAUAACUAGUGGAAACGGUAGCUAAUACCGCAUAACGUCGCAAGACCAAAGUGGGGGACCUUCGGGCCUCACGCCAUCAGAUGUGCCCAGGUGGGAUUAGCUGGUAGGUGGGGUAACGGCUCACCUAGGCGACGAUCCCUAGCUGGUCUGAGAGGAUGACCAGCCACACUGGAACUGAGACACGGUCCAGACUCCUACGGGAGGCAGCAGUGGGGAAUAUUGCACAAUGGGCGCAAGCCUGAUGCAGCCAUGCCGCGUGUGUGAA